This 376-nucleotide ribosomal RNA is filed under the name uncultured bacterium. Its description in RNAcentral is "bacterial SSU rRNA". It matches the Rfam family "Bacterial small subunit ribosomal RNA", at positions 521 to 896 of the family's 1533-position model. The record is from RNAcentral.
UAAUACAGAGGGUGCGAGCGUUAAUCGGAAUCACUGGGCUUAAAGCGUUCGUAGGCGGGUCUGUAGGCGCGUUGUGAAAGCCCUCGGCUCAACCGGGGAACUGCUUCGCGAACCACAGAUCUUGAGUCAAGUAGGGGCGAUCGGAACGAUAGGUGGAGCGGUGAAAUGCGUAGAUAUCUAUCGGAACGCCGAAGGUGAAGACAGGUCGCUGGGCUUGUACUGACGCUGAGGAACGAAAGCGUGGGGAGCAAACGGGAUUAGAUACCCCGGUAGUCCACGCCGUAAACGAUGCGCACUAGGUCGGGGAGGUUUGACGCCCUCCUGGCCGCAGCAAAAGUGUUUAGUGCGCCGCCUGGGGAGUACGGUCGCAAGGCUA